RNAcentral lists this ribosomal RNA (253 nucleotides) under uncultured bacterium. RNAcentral's name for it is "partial 16S ribosomal RNA". It matches the Rfam family "Bacterial small subunit ribosomal RNA", at positions 524 to 776 of the family's 1533-position model. The record is from RNAcentral.
GACGAACCGAGCGAACGUUGUUCGGAAUCACUGGGCUUAAAGGGCGCGUAGGCGGGCUGUCAAGUUUGGGGUGAAAUCCCGCGGCUCAACCGUGGAACUGCCUCAAAUACUGACGGUCUCGAGGGAGGUAGGGGCGAGCGGAACUGAUGGUGGAGCGGUGAAAUGCGCAGAUAUCGGGAAGAACACCCGUGGCGAAGGCGGCUCUCUGGGACGGUACUGACGCUGAGACGCGAAAGCGUGGGGAGCGAACAGG